This 966-nucleotide long non-coding RNA is filed under the name Homo sapiens (human). Its description in RNAcentral is "long non-coding RNA NONHSAT159512.1". The record is from RNAcentral. Lineage: Eukaryota; Metazoa; Chordata; Mammalia; Primates; Hominidae.
AAAGGUUCAGUCCCAUUUGGCCAAUAUACACUGUCUUAGCUUGGGGUGUUAUAAUAAGAUGCUACCAACUAUAUUGUUUAAACAAUAAAAAUUUAUUUUUCACAGCUCUGGAGGCUGGAAAUCCAACAACAGAGUGCCAGCAUGAUCAGGUUCUGGAGAGGACCCUCUUCCUGUUUGCAGACUGCUGACUUCUUAUUGUAUAUUCCAAUGGUAGAAAGAGAGCAAGAGAACUCUCUGGAGUCUUUUUUUUAUAAGGGUGCUAACCCCAUUUAAGGAGGUUUCCCCUCAUAAUCUAAUUAUCUCUCAAAAGCCAUACCUUUCAACACCAUUGCAUUGAAGGAUUGCCCAGCAGAUGUCUUUUUCAUUUCCUUUGCUUGUGGUUUGCCCAUCUGUCAGCUGUGAAUGACCCAAACAACGUGACACGCUAUUUCUAACUCAACAGUCCUGGAACUUUCUUGACCUUUGACAAAGCCAUCAGAUCACCAUCACCAUCAUUAUUGUUUAUAGAAACAUGAAAAUUCAACCAUAAAAAGUCAUCUUGGGCUGAGCAUGGUGGCUCUAACAUGUAAUCCCAGCACUUUGGGAGCCUAAGGUGAGAAGAUCACUUCAGGCCAGGCAUUGAAGUUCAGCCUGGGUAACAUAGCCAGAUCUCAUCUCUACAAAACAUAAAAAACCAGUUAGCUGGACCUGGUGUACAUCCCUGUAGUCCUGGCUACUCCAGCAACUGAGGUGGGAGGAUCAUUUGAGCCUCAGCCUCUGGACCAGCUAGGACUACUCCCCAGUAGUGUGAGUGGUGUGAGCUCUGAUCACACCACUGCACUCUAGCCUGGGCAGCAAAGCAUAACCCCUUCUCCAACCAAAAAAAAAAAAAAAAAAAAAAAAAAAAGAAUAAAAAUAAAAAAGAAAGAAAGAAAGAAAAAAAUCAUCUUGGCUAUGUCAAUGCCAAAGUUCAUGAGUUGAGAGAUG